Molecule: ribosomal RNA, 301 nt
Filed under: uncultured bacterium
Lineage: Bacteria
Description: partial 16S ribosomal RNA
Rfam family: Bacterial small subunit ribosomal RNA
Source: RNAcentral
CAGUCGCCGCGGGAAUACGAAGGGGGCUAGCGUUGCUCGGAAUUACUGGGCGUAAAGGGAGCGUAGGCGGAUCGUUUAGUCAGGGGUGAAAUCUCGGGGCUCAACCUCGGAACUGCCUUUGAUACUGGCGAUCUUGAGUAUGGGAGAGGUGUGUGGAACUCCGAGUGUAGAGGUGAAAUUCGUAGAUAUUCGGGAGAACACCAGUGGCGAAGGCGACACACUGGCCCAUUACUGACGCUGAGGCUCGAAAGCGUGGGGAGCAAACAGGAUUAGAGACCCCUGUAGUCCCUGUCUCUUAUAC